ACGAAGCAGUACCGAUAAGGAGCUGUGGACUGUAUAGAAGAGAGAAUGCCGGAAUGAGUAGCGAGAGGAAGGUGAGAAUCCUUCCGGCCGAAUAUCUAAGGUUUCCAGAGUAAAGCUGAUCUGCUCUGGGUAAGUCGGGGCCUAAGGCCAGGUCGAAAGACGUAACCGAUGGACAACAGGUUGAAAUUCCUGUACCUUAAGUAAACAGAACUGUGGGGACACGUGUGGAGAGCACAAGCCGGAAAUGGAAAAGCCGGUGCAAGCGAGGUAGGAGAUGAGCAGGCAAAUCCGUUCAUCAAUCCGAAGACGUGAUGCGGACCGAAUUAAGAGUAGGGAAGUGUGUGAGCCAUGCGUCAAGAAAAGCCGCUAUUGUUUUACUUAAGCCCGUACCGUAAACCGACACAGGUGGAUGAGGAGAGAAUCCUAAGGCCGACGGGAGAAGCAUUGUUAAGGAACUCGGCAAAAUGACUCCGUAACUUCGGGAGAAGGAGUGCCAGCGAGAGCUGGCCGCAGAGAAUUGGCCCAAGCAACUGUUUAGCAAAAACACAGGUCUAUGCAAAACCGUAAGGUGAAGUAUAUGGGCUGACGCCUGCCCGGUGCUGGAAGGUUAAGAGGAGAGGUUAGCGGUAACGCGAAGCUUUGAAUUUAAGCCCCAGUAAACGGCGGCCGUAACUAUAACGGUCCUAAGGUAGCGAAAUUCCUUGUCGGGUAAGUUCCGACCCGCACGAAAGGCGUAAUGAUUUGGGCACUGUCUCAACAAUGCACCCGGUGAAAUUGAAAUACCAGUGAAGAUGCUGGUUACCUGCGCCAGGACGGAAAGACCCCAUGGAGCUUUACUCCAGCUUGAUACUGGGAUUCGGUAUUGCAUGUACAGGAUAGGUGGGAGGCUAGGAAGUGAUGACGCCAGUUGUCACAGAGCCGCUGUUGGGAUACCACCCUUGCAGUAUUGGAUUUCUAACCAGCGACCAUGAACUGGUCGGGGGACAAUGUCAGGUGGGGAGUUUGACUGGGGCGGUCGCCUCCGAAAGGGUAUCGGAGGCGCUCAAAGGUUCCCUCAGAAUGGACGGAAACCAUUCGAAGAGUGCAAAGGCAGAAGGGAGCUUGACUGCGACACCGACGGGUGGAGCAGGUACGAAAGUAGGACUUAGUGAUCCGGUGGUAUAAAGUGGGAUUGCCAUCGCUCAACGGAUAAAAGCUACCCUGGGGAUAACAGGCUUAUCACUCCCAAGAGUUCACAUCGACGGAGUGGUUUGGCACCUCGAUGUCGGCUCAUCGCAUCCUGGGGCUGAAGUAGGUCCCAAGGGUUGGGCUGUUCGCCCAUUAAAGCGGUACGCGAGCUGGGUUCAGAACGUCGUGAGACAGUUCGGUCCCUAUCCGGCGUGGGCGUAGGAUAUUUGAGAGGAGCUGUCCUUAGUACGAGAGGACCGGGAUGGACUGGCCGCUGGUGUAUCUGUUGCAUACCAAGUGCAUGGCAGAGUAGCCAAGCCGGGACGGGAUAAACGCUGAAGGCAUCUAAGCGUGAAGCCCCCCUCAAGAUGAGAUAUCCCUACGUAAGUAGUAAGACCCCUUGAAGACGACGAGGUAGAUAGGUCAGAGGUGGAAGUACAGUAAUGUAUGGAGCUGACUGAUACUAAUCGGUCGAGGGCAUGACCA
Molecule: ribosomal RNA, 1653 nt
Filed under: human gut metagenome
Description: bacterial LSU rRNA
Rfam family: Bacterial large subunit ribosomal RNA
Source: RNAcentral